GUGGCUGUAGUUCACAGACUGUUGAUCGAUGCAACCGGUAACUGUUCUUCUGCUUUUAAAAACAACAGUCAACAAGAAACCAGGUAGAUGAUGACAUCCGAGAGGGGGAGGCCCCUCUUCUCACAGAGCCCAGUGAGCAUAGUGCGGAUGGAGAGGCCAGGUCGGGCUGGAGCCAGGGAGGCAGUGCCGUCAGGCCUCGUAAUCCAAACUGGUGAAUCUCAUCUCUUUUCCCAUAAAUCCUCCAGCCCUCAGGAGAAAAUCAGAUGCCCAUGUGGUUCUUUCUAUUUAAGGGACUCUUGCGUGGGCCUCUUUCUCACUUUACUUUCUUGGGCAUUUUSACAAACAAUCUUUGUGGCAGUGUUAUGUAUUGUCUCCCAGUCAGUAAAAUGCUUUCAUUCAAA
This is a long non-coding RNA of Salvelinus sp. IW2-2015, 401 nucleotides long. RefSeq lists it as uncharacterized. NCBI's taxonomy places the organism in Eukaryota, Metazoa, Chordata, Actinopteri, Salmoniformes, Salmonidae. The record is from RefSeq and is a predicted model, not a curated record.